AGAGUUUGAUCAUGGCUCAGGAUGAACGCUAGCGGCAGGCUUAAUACAUGCAAGUCGUGGGGCAGCACAGUGUAGCAAUACAUGGGUGGCGACCGGCAAACGGGUGCGGAACACGUACGCAACCUUCCUUUAACUGGAGAAUAGCCCGGGGAAACCCGGAUUAAUACUCCGUAACAUUAUGAAGUGGCAUCACUUUAUAAUUAUAGCUCCGGCGGUUGAAGAUGGGCGUGCGUCUGAUUAGGUAGUUGGCGGGGUAACGGCCCACCAAGCCUACGAUCAGUAACUGGUGUGAGAGCACGACCAGUCACACGGGCACUGAGACACGGGCCCGACUCCUACGGGAGGCAGCAGUAAGGAAUAUUGGUCAAUGGACGCAAGUCUGAACCAGCCAUGCCGCGUGGAGGAUGAAGGUCCUCUGGAUUGUAAACUUCUUUUAUUUGGGAAGAAACCCCCGAUUUCUAUUGGGGUUGACGGUACCAGAUGAAUAAGCACCGGCUAACUCCGUGCCAGCAGCCGCGGUAAUACGGAGGGUGCAAGCGUUAUCCGGAUUCACUGGGUUUAAAGGGUGCGUAGGCGGGUUGGUAAGUCCGUGGUGAAAUCUCCAAGCUUAACUUGGAAACUGCCGUGGAUACUAUCAAUCUUGAAUAUCGUGGAGGUGAGCGGAAUAUGUCAUGUAGCGGUGAAAUGCUUAGAUAUGACAUAGAACACCCAUUGCGAAGGCAGCUCGCUACACGGUUAUUGACGCUGAGGCACGAAAGCGUGGGGAUCAAACAGGAUUAGAUACCCUAGUAGUCC
This 795-nucleotide ribosomal RNA is filed under the name uncultured bacterium. RNAcentral describes it as "bacterial SSU rRNA". It matches the Rfam family "Bacterial small subunit ribosomal RNA", at positions 8 to 796 of the family's 1533-position model. The record is from RNAcentral.